UACAGUGGCGAACGGGUGAGUAACACGUGACUAACCUGCCUUCUAGUGGGGGAUAACUCCGGGAAACCGGGGCUAAUACCGCAUAACAUCCUUUGGUGAAAUUCCUGGGGAUCAAAGCAGCAAUACGCUGGAAGAGGGGGUCGCGGCCGAUUAGCUAGUUGGCGGGGUAAUGGCCCACCAAGGCAGUGAUCGGUAGCCGGCCUGAGAGGGCGCACGGCCACACUGGAACUGAAACACGGUCCAG
Molecule: ribosomal RNA, 244 nt
Filed under: uncultured bacterium
Lineage: Bacteria
Description: partial 16S ribosomal RNA
Rfam family: Bacterial small subunit ribosomal RNA
Source: RNAcentral